GUCUAUGGCCAUGCCACCCUGAACGUGAGUGAUCUCAUAUGAUUUUGGAAGCUAAGAAGGGUUGGGCCUAGUUAAUACUUAGAUGGGAGACCACCUAAAAAUACCAGGUGCUGUAGGUA
Ribosomal RNA from Pteropus vampyrus (large flying fox), 119 nucleotides. The record is from Ensembl. NCBI's taxonomy places the organism in Eukaryota, Metazoa, Chordata, Mammalia, Chiroptera, Pteropodidae.